This 761-nucleotide ribosomal RNA is filed under the name Notothenia neglecta (yellowbelly rockcod). RNAcentral describes it as "partial 16S ribosomal RNA". It matches the Rfam family "Bacterial large subunit ribosomal RNA", at positions 696 to 1942 of the family's 2925-position model. Lineage: Eukaryota; Metazoa; Chordata; Actinopteri; Perciformes; Nototheniidae. The record is from RNAcentral.
AGAUUUUUAGUUUGUUAACCCGAAACUAAGGGAGCUACUCCAAGACAGCCUGUUAAUAGGGCGCACCCGUCUCUGUUGCAAAAGAGUGGGACGAGCUUUGAGUAGAGGUGACAAGCCUACCGAACUUAGUUAUAGCUGGUUGCCCAAGAAAUGAAUAGUAGUUCAGCCUCCCGGCUUCUCCGUUCACCUCAGUGUACACACAUUCCUGAUGUUUCAAGAAACCGUGAGAGUUAUUCAAAGGGGGUACAGCCCCUUUGAAACAAGACACAACUUUUCCAGGAGGGUAAAGAUCAUAAUUACACAAGGUAAGUAACUCUCGUGGGCCCGAAAGCAGCCACCCCCUAAAGAAAGCGUCUAAGCUCGAAACAAUCUUGCCCCUCCCCCAAUCCUGAUCAUUUAAUCUUAUCCCCCUAAACUUAUUGAGCCGUCCCAUGCCAACAUGGGAGUGACCAUGCUAAUAUAAGUAAUAAGAAAGCCCUGACUUUCUCCCCGCACGCGUGUAAAUCGGAAUGGACCCCCCACCGAAUAUUAACGGCCCCAAAUACAGAGGGCAAUGGGAUUAUAAACCAAACACCAAGAAAAUUCUUCAACCACCAACCGUACCCCAACACAGGUGUGCCCCUAGGGAAAAACUAAAAGGGGGAGAAGGACUUCGGAAACACAUAAAGCCUUGGCUGUUUACCAAAAACAUUGGCUUUUGCAAAUAAUGAAUAAAAGGUCCGCCUGCCCUGUGACUAUUAGUUUAACGGCCGCGGUAUUUU